AAGUCGUAACAAGGUUUCCGUAGGUGAACCUGCGGAAGGAUCAUUACCAAAUCCAAAUUCAACCACUUGUGAACUUGUCUUGUAUUGUCUUUUGGGAGGUUCAGGGAGUUUAAACAACUGCCUGGUUCCUGAACAUGCAUUUAUUUGUAUGUUUGGGGCCUCCCAUUAGGCGCGUGUGUGUUGCUGCUGCAAAGCAAACAACACCACAAAAACAUAAACCACAAUUCAAAUUUUUUCAUUUGGUUUUUUUACAAAAAAACAAAAUGACAACUUUUAACGGUGGAUCUCUUGGCUCAU
Molecule: unclassified non-coding RNA, 297 nt
Filed under: fungal sp.
Lineage: Eukaryota; Fungi
Description: partial internal transcribed spacer region
Rfam family: Eukaryotic small subunit ribosomal RNA (bases 1-46)
Source: RNAcentral